RNAcentral lists this non-coding RNA (23 nucleotides) under Arabidopsis thaliana (thale cress). Lineage: Eukaryota; Viridiplantae; Streptophyta; Magnoliopsida; Brassicales; Brassicaceae. The record is from RNAcentral.
UUCAGGGACCAGGUGUUUCGGCA